UCGUGUUGAUCUCGACACCAACUCUCUCUCGGAACAACCUCUGGGUAAGCUUGUCCUUGGCACUGAUCUACCUUACCGGAUGACUGUUCAUCCUCGCGAAGGUGGUCUUAUCUGCUCAUCGCCAGACAGUUGCAGGUGAGUUCUCUCAUUCGACUUCACAACUCAUUAGCUUCGUGAUUUGUAGAGUUUUGCUAUUAGAAUUUCGGGCUUUACGUUUGAGUAAUCUGUAUACAAAUAGAGAUAAAUUGUGUCUAUUGAUAGCUGUGACCUCGUCGAAUCACAACCUUAGUACGAAGAGUAAGAGUAAAAUGUAAACAAGGAACGAGACUAGAUUUUGGGCAAUUGAUAUUGCCUCUUUUUGGCUUUUCUAUUUCUUAAAUACUGAAAACAACGAAAGGGAAAUGGAGUGAUCACCACUCCUACAAUUCAGGAAUUACAGGGAAAGAGGUGAAAUGGAUCCUAACAAGUAGGAAGAGCAAUUCCACUUA
Camelina sativa (false flax) is the source of this 488-nucleotide non-coding RNA. The record is from RefSeq and is a predicted model, not a curated record. Lineage: Eukaryota; Viridiplantae; Streptophyta; Magnoliopsida; Brassicales; Brassicaceae.